UUCCAUGGCGGACGGUGCGUGGGGAUCCCUGAUCCGCCGGUUGAACUGGGUCCAGACUUGCCGGUACUGCUACCCGCACCGUCCGCCACCUCG
Molecule: non-coding RNA, 93 nt
Filed under: Xanthomonas sp. 60
Lineage: Bacteria; Pseudomonadati; Pseudomonadota; Gammaproteobacteria; Lysobacterales; Lysobacteraceae
Source: RNAcentral